This 304-nucleotide unclassified non-coding RNA is filed under the name uncultured Sebacina. RNAcentral describes it as "sequence contains 5.8S rRNA gene". Lineage: Eukaryota; Fungi; Basidiomycota; Agaricomycetes; Sebacinales; Sebacinaceae. The record is from RNAcentral.
GAACGCACCUUGCACCCUUUGGUAUUCCGAAGGGUACACCCGUUUGAGUGUCAUUGUAAUCUCACCUCUUCAACCCUUUUUUGGGUUGACCAGUGUGGACUUGGAUGCUGUCGUGUGACAAACGGCUCGUCUGAAAUUCCUGAGUGUACCCUGCUUUGCGGCGUAUUCGGUGUGAUAAAUCUUCACCGGAGUUGAUCCUUUGGAUCACGUCUCUUGCAAUGGCUCUAUGCUUCAAACCGUCUUGACAGGACAAUCCUCUGACAAUUUGACCUCAAAUCGGGUGGGACUACCCGCUGAACUUAAG